This is an RNA transcript of Cydia pomonella (codling moth), 4630 nucleotides long. RefSeq lists it as uncharacterized. The record is from RefSeq and is a predicted model, not a curated record. Lineage: Eukaryota; Metazoa; Arthropoda; Insecta; Lepidoptera; Tortricidae. The transcript has 9 exons.
GUAGGGCCUCAGGUUAUGAUUAGGUUAUGUUAUGUGUGUGUUUUGUGUAUUGAUGUUAUGUUUAGAUUAUGUUCUUUAUCCACAGGAGCCGUUGGAACACCGACAGACAGAGUGAUAACUAGAAACAGGGACAGGAGAGACACAUACUUUGACAUAAUUACAGGUAAAUCGGAUCGCGAGGACAGCUACAAACCACAUGUGCUGCCUGUUGAGCUACCGAUUAAACUUGGUGGCCACGAUAGUUCCAAUCUUCCUAUUCUCGUGCUGCCAGUACCAUUUCCAGUAUACACAAAGAAAUCAGAUUCAAUCGAUGCUCGGCUCAGCGGACCAGUUUCAGACAAAAAUGCUAAUUUUCCUGUCACCCCGCCAUAUAUAGCACUUCGCUCUUUCGAAGAUGUCCCUCGAACUAGAUCUCGCGAUAGAUACAUAGCGGUAGACCGAGAAAAAGAACCUGCAGAUGAGGAUUUCGAUGGUUCACCUAUUGUAGUGUUAGAAGAAGAAUCAAGCAAUCCUUCUGGAACAGUUGUCGGGGAAUCACGCCGCCGUGUAAAGUAUGUAGUAAAAAAAGUUAUUUCAAACAAACGUGAUCGUGCAAAUUAUGUUAAUGAAGAUGAUAUUUCCGACAUUCCUCGAAAGCGUAUAACGUAUGUUACUGAAGAUGUUGUCCCCGACACUCAGCGACAGCGUGUAAAAUAUGUUACUGACGAUGAUGUUUCUUAUACUCCUAGGCGUAUAAAGUAUGUCACUGAUACGAUUACCAACAGUCCUCCACGACAGCGUGUAAAAUAUAUUACUACUGACGAUGUGAUUCCUGACAUCGCCCCGACACGGCAGCGUGUGAAGUAUGUCAUUGAAGAUAGUGACGAUGUUAAUUCCAAAACUCCUCCACAGCAGCGUGUAAGAUAUGUUACUGAAGUGAAUUCAAAUACACCUCGGUCAAGGCGGCCUGUCAAAUACAGACCCAAGGAAACGGAGAUAUUAUUAUCUCCUGAAUUUGAAAUUCGAUCUAACUUCGAUGAGCAGUCUUAUGUGCCUGACGAUCAAUUAGAAGAGGAAUUAAAUGUUGGAGACAAGUUUGAAGCUUCAUCUGAGCCCAAGGAAGUUUAUAUACCUUUCUCAUAUGGGCGUGGUCAAAUAUAUAAAACUUCUGCAGACCUAAUCCGGAGCUACCUCCGCGAAGUCCCACUCGCACCAAAACUCCCCGCAGUAAUGCCUCGAGGCCGCCGGUUCCCCGCUCGAAUCCCUGACUUAGGCCUCGACGCCGCCGGGGAGGUCAGCAUACCCGGCCCGUCGCCGCCGAGGCCGGACUUUAGCCACUCCAUGCGUCUACGCAUUGAUCUGACGGUGCCGCGCUCCGACUACACUACAGUUUAUGAUUUAGAAUGGCACGCCGGUUCAAACACGGCGCGUACUGUGGUAGAGGAUGGCGCUACCAUCUUCUACCGUGUUCCGUUGCUCGACGGGCGAAUGCAAUACCUUAAGUAUGAAGACGACCGUAUGAAUGGAACCCAGGUGCAACGCUGCAUUCUGUCUCCCCUGCUGCGUUCGACUGCUGAAGAUAAGACCUUCCCUGGCCUCCCUGAUUUGACGCGGUUCCACUUUGUAGGCUACACGGAAGCGGAAGGACAUUCCCUGGUGGAGCGCUGGCGGCACUGGGUGAUCGGCAGGCCGGGGGAGCUGGGUGCGGCGCAAGGAGAGGCCCUCAACUACACCCAUGAGUUCCUCCUCUACAGGGAUCGAGGGGAAGUUGUGCCUCUCAAGUUAGCCCUUACGUCUUUAUUAGUCAUUACUCAUUAUAUCAGAAAGGAAGAGGAGAACUGGGCGCGAUGCGGGGGGAGGCCUUCAACUACACCCAUGAGUUCCUCCUCUACAGGGAUCGAGGGGAAGUUGUGCCUCUCAAGUUAGCCCUUACGUCUUUAUUAUUCAUUACUCAUUAUAUCAGGAAGGAAGAGGAGAACUGGGCGCGAUGCGGGGGGAGGCCUUCAACUACACCCAUGAGUUCCUCCUCUACAGGGAUCGAGGGGAAGUUGUGCCUCUCAAGUUAGUCCUUACGUCUUUAUUAGUCAUUAUUGAACAGGCAGGGAGAGGAGACCUGGGCGCGGCAGGGGGGGAAGGCUCAUGGAAGGAGGUGGAGACCUUUUAUGAAAUGGUCAUACUACAGAAGGAAGCAGCGGAGCGACUACGCGAGGAAGAUGAAGUCGCGCAUCCGCUAAGGUAGGGGAAGAAGAAGAGGGCAGUAUGCAGCUGCUGCGCGCCACCUUUCCCAGUAGGGCCAGUGGGUAGAGGACCGACACUGCACGAUCCUAUACGGCUAGGGGAAGAGUCAAGGCGUUUCUGACCUCCUCCUUAGAUGCAGGUGGGUUUAGUGGGUAGGCUCCUCCCCCUCUUUCUCAAUGGAGAAUGGAGGUGUGAGUCCCACAUACCCCCAAAAUGGGCCCACUUCAGGCCAGGGGGACGAUGCGUAACAGCAUUCCCACAGCGAUAAAAAAAGGCCCUCAACUACAGCCAUGAGCUCCUCCUCUACAGUGCCUUUCAAGUUAGUCCUUACGUAUUUAAAAUUAAAAUAUUUUUUUGCGAAUUGGCCCAAAUUCAUAAAACGUUUUUUGCUCCUUAUGAUCUCAGGAAUGCGUGGUUAAAAUCUAUUGGGUUACUCGAGCCCACGGUAUACAACAAUCUUAUCUUACCUAGAUAUAAGCUUUCGUGACCUUAUAUUAUGCAGGGCACGAAGAACGCUCUGCUAACGGCGAGUGUCGUGGUGCGAUGAAAUAGCCAAGGGCAUAUCAGAUCAUUCUGACUCCGGAAAGUUGCCAUUAAUGGCACUAGGUGGUCGGCAGGACUUGAAUAGUUAUCAAUUCAAUUCAAUUACAUUGUAUUUAAGGACCAACAGAGACAUUAGUUUUAGUAUUAACCACGUCGUUUGUCUACAUAUUUGUAUCAAUAGCUCGAAUAAGCGAGAGCAAUAUAGAGAAAUACUUAGAUUACCUAUUCCUCCUUUUUCAGAUACACCGUCGUAACGCACAGCUCAGUCCUGGGUCCAAACAGCGACUCAUAUAUUCACCGCUAUCGUUUGCUGCCGGCGCCGGCUGCUCCUAUGCUACCUGACACAGCUCAGUUGUGUGACGUAAUCACACAAAUGAAGGGAGAACGACUAUUGCAUCGUCAUCGAGACUUACAAUCGACAAGGGAUUUUUUCUCAACGGAUGCUUUGGGAUUGAUAACACCAAACAAGGAUUUAACCAGAUCAGAUUUUAGGAAUAAAGGUUUUGGUGCGGGGUUAACUUUAGAUAAAGGGGCUGCUAUCGUAAAUUACAGAGCUGGGGUUACAGAUUCAGACAAAGCGGAGGUGUCUGCUAAAUCAAAUUUCGGGGCAGAGGGUGUUAGUGCGCGGUUGACAAACAAAACGGGGGUUACAGCUGCAAAUCGAGAGACAGUGGAUCAUGCAGACGAAGAGGGGGUAAACUUAAAUAUCGGGGGAAAAAACAUUGGUGAAGCUCUAGGGUCCGUGGCAGGGGAAUUAAUUAAGGGAGCCGCUUCUGCAGCGAAGGAUUUCUUCAAUCCGAUAGGUGAAUUUUUAGGUAUCAAUCGGCCUGCGAAAUAUGACUCCAUGUUUGAUAAAUUCAAAAAGAAGUACAAGCGAAAAUACCGAGAUGACGACGAAGAGGCUGUACGUAAGGCCCAAUUUAUUAACACAAAUCGCUACACUGAAGCCGGCAACCUAAUCGCCAACACCUUCAAAAUGGGUAUCAACUACUUCGCAGACAGAGUAAAAGAAGAGUUGAAAAUGCUGACGAGCGGCGUACCCGAAAAAUUACCCCCAGGUAUCAAUGUGCAAGCUUCAGAACAUUUUCGGAAUUCCCAAAUUUUCCGUUUCCAGGUUUCCACUGAGAAAGUUUCCGUUAAGAUUAGGGAUUUUUACUUAAUGUUUUUUGACGACUGUUUCAUUUAACAUUUCACGUGUUGUAGAAAUUGUAACUCACUCUAAAAAGGUUUGGCAAUAAACACGCAGAAAAGAAAAUGGAGUAAUUUUCAUGGGAACUUUGGAAUUCUUGAAAAUUUGCAUCUUGCUACCCACAGGUAUUUCUCCAGGCAGUGCUGGGUACGAAUUCACGGCGGCGAUUGUGAAAAAAAUGCUGGAUGAAAAUAAAGACGCGGUGCCUGCUAAGUUCAGUUGGAAAGAGCUUGGAUUUCAGACCCCAGUACAUUGUAAGUUAAAUAUUAUUAAGCAGAUACGAAUGCGAGCAAUUAUUAAAUUUUUAGUAGGUAAUAUAAAAAGAUUGUAGGUUAUCGACCGCGCGAUCGCGAAGCAGCUUCGAACCGAAGCUUGAGAAAAAAUGCUUUUGUAUGUGCGGAUGUUCUCCUCUACAUGGUAUCUCGUGAAUUUUGUGACAAUGACAAGGCCGAUAAUUAUACGUUUUUAUUUGAAUUAUUCGAAAUGCUCAUUAUUAAUGGAGGCGAUCAGUUGAGAAGGAGGCUGAGACUCAACUGAACUCGGCUGGAAAGAGCUGGAAGUAGCCGCUCAGGAUCACGAAAAAUGGAAAAUUCUUCUGCGAGCCCUAUGUCCCUAAUGAGGGAUAACAGGAUUACAUCUCAUCAUCAUUCGAAAUGCUGGAGCCAUGGAGGCGAGGUCUAC